RNAcentral lists this ribosomal RNA (449 nucleotides) under uncultured bacterium. RNAcentral's name for it is "partial 16S ribosomal RNA". It matches the Rfam family "Bacterial small subunit ribosomal RNA", at positions 29 to 523 of the family's 1533-position model. The record is from RNAcentral.
AACGAACGCUGGCGGCAGGCCUAACACAUGCAAGUCGAACGAGACCUUCGGGUCUAGUGGCGCACGGGUGCGUAACGCGUGGGAAUCUACCCUUGGGUUCGGAAUAACAGUUAGAAAUGACUGCUAAUACCGGAUGAUGACGUAAGUCCAAAGAUUUAUCGCCCAAGGAUGAGCCCGCGUAAGAUUAGCUUGUUGGUGGGGUAAUGGCCUACCAAGGCGACGAUCUUUAGCUGGUCUGAGAGGAUGAUCAGCCACACUGGGACUGAGACACGGCCCAGACUCCUACGGGAGGCAGCAUUGGGGAAUAUUGGACAAUGGACGAAAGCCUGAUCCAGCAAUGCCGCGUGAGUGAUGAAGGCCUUAGGGUUGUAAAGCUCUUUUACCAGGGAUGAUAAUGACAGUACCUGGAGAAUAAGCUCCGGCUAACUCCGUGCCAGCAGCCGCAGUAA